CUCAGCCGCCUCAGCCAGCAGCCGAUUCCACAUCGCAGCCCAGGUGGAAUUCUCCACAGGACUUCUGUUGAAUAUUUUCCUGCCUAUGUUCUGGGCCACAGACAUCAGGACUGGCUAAGAUUUACAUCUUCAAGAUAUGAUUUCUACCUGAAAACGAAAGAUAAGCUCUUCUCCAAAAUGACCCACUCUUCCCAUUCCCAUGAUUUCUCCUGACUCAAGCUGCUGCUUCUGCUUUACACUGUGAGCAAGCUUGCUUAUACCGUGGCUGUACCGUUUCUGAAAGGAGGCUUUGUCUCUACUGCUCCCUAGGUGAUCUAAUAGACCAAUGUAUCAAGUGGAACUAACCUCUUCUGCAUCUCAUGGAAGAAGUAUAUAAAUCAUUUCACAUUUCCUUUUUGGCCUACUCAAUGCAGCCUCACAGAUUAAAUAAAGGUAUGCCUAGGUUCUAAAUAGUUUAU
Molecule: long non-coding RNA, 458 nt
Organism: Pogoniulus pusillus (Red-fronted tinkerbird)
Lineage: Eukaryota; Metazoa; Chordata; Aves; Piciformes; Lybiidae
Exons: 4
Source: RefSeq, a predicted model, not a curated record